Molecule: unclassified non-coding RNA, 351 nt
Filed under: soil metagenome
Description: partial contains 5.8S ribosomal RNA, internal transcribed spacer 2, and large subunit ribosomal RNA
Rfam family: 5.8S ribosomal RNA (bases 1-120)
Source: RNAcentral
GAUGAAGAACGCAGCGAAAUGCGAUAAGUAAUGUGAAUUGCAGAAUUCAGUGAAUCAUCGAAUCUUUGAACGCACAUUGCGCCCGCCAGUAUUCUGGCGGGCAUGCCUGUUCGAGCGUCAUUACAACCCUCAGGCCCCCGGGCCUGGCGUUGGGGAUCGGCGGAAGCCCCCUGUGGGCACACGCCGUCCCUCAAAUACAGUGGCGGUCCCGCCGCAGCUUCCAUUGCGUAGUAGCUAACACCUCGCAACUGGAGAGCGGCGCGGCCAUGCCGUAAAACACCCAACUUCUGAAUGUUGACCUCGAAUCAGGUAGGAAUACCCGCUGAACUUAAGCAUAUCAAUAACGGAGGA